Molecule: RNA transcript, 1826 nt
Organism: Myotis brandtii (Brandt's bat)
Lineage: Eukaryota; Metazoa; Chordata; Mammalia; Chiroptera; Vespertilionidae
Gene: NQO1
Gene name: NAD(P)H dehydrogenase, quinone 1
Exons: 7
Source: RefSeq, a predicted model, not a curated record
GCCCCAUCCCGAGCCGCCCACCUAGCCCGGACGCCAGCAGGAACUGCCUCCUUGGGUCCCAAGGCGGUUGCAGGGCUGUGGCCAGAUGGGCACACCUCCCACUCCCUCCCAGGAGACCCCUCUCACCCCACCCCCACCCCGAGGGCACCCUUCUUCCAGGUCCCGAGGUCCCCCGUCCAGGCCCCAGUCUCCCCUUUCCUUCCUGGAACCGCAGCCUCCGCGAGCUCCGCCCUGCAUCCCAGGGCCCCGGUGGCCGGCUCCGCCUUUGCUGGGUACUUGGCUGUGUGGCCGGGGCUGGGCCAGGCCAGAUAUAAAGCAGCCUCGGCUCGGCUGGCAGCACCCACAAGCCUCCUAAGACCUUGCCCCAGCCACCAGCCCCGCCACUCAGCGCACCCCGGAGCCAUGACUGGCAGAAAAGCAUUGAUCGUACUGGCUCACGCAGAGAGGACAUCCUUCAACUAUGCCAUGAAGGAAGCUGCUGUAGAGGCUCUGAAGAGGAAAGGAUGGGGGGUCACUGUGUCAGACCUGUAUGCCAUGAACUUCAAUCCCGUCAUCUCCAGAAAGGACAUUACAGGUAAACUGAAGGACCCUGAGAACUUUAAGUAUCCUGCCGAGUCUGUUCUGGCUUAUAAAGAAGGCCGUCUGAGCCCAGAUAUUGUGGCUGAACAAAAGAAGCUGGAAGCUGCAGACCUUGUGAUUUUUCAGUUCCCACUGCAGUGGUUUGGAGUCCCUGCCAUCCUGAAAGGCUGGUUUGAGCGAGUGCUCAUCGGGGAGUUUGCUUACACGUACGCUGCCAUGUAUGACAAGGGACCUUUCCGGAACAAGAAGGCAGUGCUGUCCAUCACCACUGGUGGUAGCGACUCCAUGUACUCUCUGCAGGGAGUCCACGGGGACAUGAACAUCAUUCUCUGGCCAAUUCAGAGUGGCACUCUGCAUUUCUGUGGCUUCCAGGUCUUAGAACCUCAACUGACAUACAGCAUUGGGCACAUUCCCGCGGAUGCCCGACUUCAGGUCCUGGAAGGAUGGAAGAAACGCCUGGAGAAUAUCUGGGAUGAGACUCCACUAUAUUUUGCUCCAAGUAGUUUCUUUGACCUAAACUUUCAGGCAGGAUUCUUAAUGAAAAAGGAGGUCCAGGAAGAGCAGAAAGCUAAGAAGUUUGGCCUUUCUGUGGGCCAUCACUUGGGCAAGUCCAUUCCAACUGACAACCAGAUCAAAGCCAGAGAAUAAGACUCACAAGGCUUGAUUUUCUUCUAAAAUGUAGCCAAGUCUAGGUUUCUUCUUCAGGCUUCCUUUAGUUUUUAAGAUUUGUGCCUUUCUUUUUCCACGAGGAAUGAAUAUAAGAGAGAUUAGACUAUUCAUACAUUUUUCAAUAGUUUUUUUUAAAACAUAACUGAUUUUUACAAUUGCUAUCAUGGCAACAUCUGAUUAGGUUCAAGAGGCCAUUUAAAAUAUAAAGCAGGGAAAGGUGUAGAAAGGUGCUAGAAAAUAUUCUUUAAGGUCCUGUGUACAACUUAAUCCUUCUCUUAGGGACACAUUUUUAGGGUUAAAUCUGGCUACAAAACAUCUAACUCUUCAAUGAUCUAUUUUUCUUUUAAUUAUCUCUCUGUGGUUUGCAGCAAAAGGGAAUUGCCCAGAGAAAGCAAUGACUGAAUCGGUCAGACCUAAGGGACUUGUUUGUGAUAUGCAUUGGUUUUAAUUACUACAUAGUGACUGGUAUGGCUAAUCUGAGUGUUACUCUUCCUUUAACUUCUGUUGUUUGUAUACAGUACACACAGGUAUCUUGAAAUGAAAAGCUAAUAAAAGUCUCCUUUACCUCAAUCUUCUAA